GCGACCCCAGGUCAGGCGGGAUUACCCGCUGAGUUUAAG
This 39-nucleotide ribosomal RNA is filed under the name Phacelia affinis. Its description in RNAcentral is "partial 26S ribosomal RNA". RNAcentral also lists the same sequence under 4 other names. The record is from RNAcentral. Lineage: Eukaryota; Viridiplantae; Streptophyta; Magnoliopsida; Boraginales; Hydrophyllaceae.